This 465-nucleotide ribosomal RNA is filed under the name Vreelandella stevensii. RNAcentral's name for it is "partial 16S ribosomal RNA". It matches the Rfam family "Bacterial small subunit ribosomal RNA", at positions 338 to 795 of the family's 1533-position model. Lineage: Bacteria; Pseudomonadati; Pseudomonadota; Gammaproteobacteria; Oceanospirillales; Halomonadaceae. The record is from RNAcentral.
CCUACGGGGGGCAGCAGUGGGGAAUAUUGGACAAUGGGGGGAACCCUGAUCCAGCCAUGCCGCGUGUGUGAAGAAGGCCCUCGGGUUGUAAAGCACUUUCAGUGAGGAAGAACGCCUGGUGGUUAAUACCCAUCAGGAAAGACAUCACUCACAGAAGAAGCACCGGCUAACUCCGUGCCAGCAGCCGCGGUAAUACGGAGGGUGCGAGCGUUAAUCGGAAUUACUGGGCGUAAAGCGCGCGUAGGUGGCUUGAUAAGCCGGUUGUGAAAGCCCCGGGCUCAACCUGGGAACGGCAUCCGGAACUGUCAAGCUAGAGUGCAGGAGAGGAAGGUAGAAUUCCCGGUGUAGCGGUGAAAUGCGUAGAGAUCGGGAGGAAUACCAGUGGCGAAGGCGGCUUUCUGGACUGAAACUGACACUGAGGUGCGAAAGCGUGGGUAGCAAACAGGAUUAGAUACCCCAGUAGUC